Non-coding RNA from Paramisgurnus dabryanus, 1585 nucleotides. NCBI's taxonomy places the organism in Eukaryota, Metazoa, Chordata, Actinopteri, Cypriniformes, Cobitidae. The record is from RefSeq and is a predicted model, not a curated record.
AACAAAGCCAGCUUCACUUUAAGAGAACCUAGAUGCUAAUUGUAAAGAAGCUUGGAGUCAUAAUAUAUUUAAACGUUAUAUGUUUGCUGUUCUUCAUCUUUUUAAAUAUGAAGUCUAUUCAUGUUUGUGUUUACAGAGGUCAUGUACACUGUGGUCAACUUUGUGGACGAUGAAGAGGUUUCUGGGUAAAGAUGAUAGAAAUAUAAUGAAGUAACAGUGAAAGCUAAAACAUCAGACUGAUCCAGACACUGAAGAAAUUGAUGUCACUGCAAUCUGGCCAAAAUGAUACAACUAUAUUGAAGUAGCCUACUGUAAUGAAGCUGCAGAACAACACAGAGACUCUUGAGGACAUCAACACAGAAAAUGAAGGCUCCAAAGAGAUGUCUGUCCAGAUGAGGGUGCAUCAAUGUUACGUUUGCUGACAAGUAUAUGCUUUACAAUGUAAAACCUAACAGUUAACUUAACUCAAACCAUUUAAGGAAAUCGGUUGCCUUAACCCAUUAAGUUUUAAAAAACAUACAUUUGAGUACUGUGAACUUGAGUUUAGUUAACUUUUAGGUUUUACAGUGAGAAAUUCUUGAAUAAUUCCAAGACAGAGCUCUGCAAUUGAAUCAACACUGCAAAAAAUCAGUUUCUAACUUAGGAUUUUUAUCUUGUUUUUAGUAGAAAAACGAAAAAUUCUUAAAUCAAGAUGUAUUUUCUUGAUGAGCAAAAUUACCUAAGAAAAUGUCUAGUUUUUAGACAAAAAUAUACAAUUUAAGUAAAUUUGUGCCUGAACAAGCAAAAAUAUAUAACAAUGGGGUGAGAAAAUUGUGCUUGAAUUAAGUUUUUAAGAAAAAAGAAAACUUAAGAUUUUUUUCUCACACCAUUGGCAGAUAUUUUUGCUUGUUUUAAGCACAAAUUCACUUAAAUUGUGUGCAUUUAUUUAUUUUGUCUAAAACUAGACUUAUUUUCUUAGGUCAUUUUGUUCAUCAAGAAAAAGCAUUUUAUUUAAAUAAUAUUUCUACUGAAAACGAGACAAAAAUACUAUGUAAGAAAGUCAUUUUUUUGCAGUGUAGGACUGAUUUCUUAAAGCAAGAUCAAUAUAGUUGUUGUUCAUUUUAUUUAGAUAUUUACUACAUUACAGUGGCAGCUGGUGACUUCUUUUUUUGUGAGCACUCGAUGCAAAGUCUGUCACAACAUGUAUAUAGCCAGUCAUUUGUGUGGUUCCCAAUUUCAAAAUAUGUGUUCUGCGUGUAUGUGCAUCACGUGUUUUGACUAAACACGUGAUGCACAUGGUUUACAUGAAGCAACAAACACAUUUUAUAAACACAAGCAACACACAUGACACUCCGAACACUUAUUUUGAAUUUGCACCCCUCGGAUGAGCAGUCACGAGCCGCCACUGCUACUAUACAUUGUACUGCUUUGAAUGUAGUUUUCAUUGUCGCUUUUAUUUUGUUUUAUUUUACUCUAAUAUUGCUUUCUCUGUCUGUAUAUUUAUGAGUUUAAAUAGUAUUGUUUAUGUAUGCAACUUUUAAUAUUUGUGUAUAAUAUUAUUUUGUGAUUGUGAAUUGUUCAGUUUUUUAUUAAAUAAACAUUUCAA